UACGAAGGGGGCUAGCGUUGCUCGGAAUUACUGGGCGUAAAGGGCGCGUAGGCGGAUGUUUAAGUCCGAGGUGAAAGCCCAGGGCUCAACCUUGGAACUGCCUUUGAUACUGGGCAUCUUGAGUAUGGGAGAGGUGAGUGGAACUCCGAGUGUAGAGGUGAAAUUCGUAGAUAUUCGGAAGAACACCAGUGGCGAAGGCGACUCACUGGCCCAUUACUGACGCUGAGGCGCGAAAGCGUGGGGAGCAAACAGG
RNAcentral lists this ribosomal RNA (253 nucleotides) under uncultured bacterium. RNAcentral describes it as "partial 16S ribosomal RNA". It matches the Rfam family "Bacterial small subunit ribosomal RNA", at positions 524 to 776 of the family's 1533-position model. The record is from RNAcentral.